GAUGAACGCUGGCGGCGUGCCUAAUACAUGCAAGUCGAGCGAACGGACGAGAAGCUUGCUUCUCUGAUGUUAGCGGCGGACGGGUGAGUAACACGUGGAUAACCUACCUAUAAGACUGGGUAAACUUCGGGAAACCGGUGCUAAAUCCGGCGUAACUUUUAAACGCCAGGUUUAAAAAGGUAAGGACGUCUUUCCGUCGCCUGUACGUGGAUCCCCCGCUGCAUUAGCUAGUUGGUAAGGUAACGGCUUACCAAGGCAACGAUGCAUAGCCGACCUGAGAGGGUGAUCGGCCACACUGGAACUGAGACACGGUCCAGACUCCUACGGGAGGCAGCAGUAGGGAAUCUUCCGCAAUGGGCGAAAGCCUGACGGAGCAACGCCGCGUGAGUGAUGAAGGUCUUCGGAUCGUAAAACUCUGUUAUUAGGGAAGAACAUAUGUGUAAGUAACUGUGCACAUCUUGACGGUACCUAAUCAGAAAGCCACGGCUAACUACGUG
RNAcentral lists this ribosomal RNA (497 nucleotides) under uncultured bacterium. Its description in RNAcentral is "partial 16S ribosomal RNA". It matches the Rfam family "Bacterial small subunit ribosomal RNA", at positions 28 to 507 of the family's 1533-position model. The record is from RNAcentral.